AACGAACGCUGGCGGCAGGCCUAACACAUGCAAGUCGAGCGAGACCUUCGGGUCUAGCGGCGGACGGGUUAGUAACGCGUGGGAACGUGCCCUUCUCUGCGGAAUAGCCACUGGAAACGGUGAGUAAUACCGCAUACGCCCUUCGGGGGAAAGAUUUAUCGGAGAAGGAUCGGCCCGCGUUAGAUUAGAUAGUUGGUGGGUAACGGCCUACCAAGUCUACGAUCUAUAGCUGGUUUUAGAGGAUGAUCAGCAACACUGGGACUGAGACACGGCCCAGACUCCUACGGGAGGCAGCAGGUGGGGAAUCUUAGACAAUGGGGCGCAAGCCUGAUCUAGCCAUGCCGCGUGUGUGAUGAAGGUCUUAGGAUCGUAAAGCACUUUCGCCAGGGAUGAUAAUGACAGUACCUGGUAAAGAAACCCCGGCUAACUCCGUG
Molecule: ribosomal RNA, 434 nt
Filed under: uncultured bacterium
Lineage: Bacteria
Description: bacterial SSU rRNA
Rfam family: Bacterial small subunit ribosomal RNA
Source: RNAcentral